UACGUAGGGGGCUAGCGUUGUCCGGAAUCAUUGGGCGUAAAGCGCGUGUAGGCGGGUCCGGUAAGUCCGCUGUGAAAGUCGGGGGCUCAACCCUCGGAUGCCGGUGGAUACUGUCGGGCUUGAGUACGGAAGAGGCGAGUGGAAUUCCUGGUGUAGCGGGUGGAAUGCGCAGAUAUCAGGAAGAACACCCGUGGCGAAGGCGGCUCUCUGGAACGCAACUGACGCUGAGACGCGAAAGCGUGGGGGAGCAAACAGG
RNAcentral lists this ribosomal RNA (256 nucleotides) under uncultured bacterium. RNAcentral's name for it is "partial 16S ribosomal RNA". It matches the Rfam family "Bacterial small subunit ribosomal RNA", at positions 524 to 776 of the family's 1533-position model. The record is from RNAcentral.